Long non-coding RNA from Alosa sapidissima (American shad), 907 nucleotides. RefSeq lists it as uncharacterized. NCBI's taxonomy places the organism in Eukaryota, Metazoa, Chordata, Actinopteri, Clupeiformes, Clupeidae. The transcript is spliced from 3 exons. The record is from RefSeq and is a predicted model, not a curated record.
ACCUGUCCUUGUGCUGUGGUCUACGGGAUUAAAUAAGCCUCAUGAUGGCAGACUGCUAGAGCCAACAGAAGAUAAUUUGGAGGCAGCACGAGGUGGUAGUGCACAGGUCAGCCUUCCAUGGCUGCUCACAAAAAAGACUGUCUGUGAUCCUAACGGGCAUCCGGUCACAGGAUCUGCGGAGCACUAUGUUUUGUAUGACAGAUUCCAUGAGAAUAAUACCAAGGACCCCAAAAAUGCCCUCGGGAAGGUGGAGCUGGUGCUGAACUGCGAGGCUGGGUUAAUAGUCAAUGCACCGAGCAGCUGUUCGCAGGGAUGCACAAAAACAAUUCUUUUAAAAAUAUUUUUACCUUCUAAUCAUGUGUUUUUGAUGAGGAACAUUAUCCAUAAUUACAACACAAGAAGAAAUAGACUCAAAAUUGAUGCCAUGAAAAAAAAAAACUUUGGAGGAGUGGACAUCAUAAUUGAUGGUAAUGGGCAGACAAUAAUUGCUCCCACAGACAUAACAGGUCCACCUGCAAGCCCCACUAGCAGCUCCUGCAGAUCAGUGUGUGGGCUAAACUGUUGUGGACUGCCUCGUUUGAAACACCUCUUUCCAACAACAGAAGUACAGGUUGGCGAUCUGCCUCUGGAGUUGCGGUCAUUAUGGCUGAACCAUAAUGCAAUUGAAGCAAAUGUACAGUAUGACUGUUAGCGCGCGCGCACACACACACACACACACAACUAACUGGUAUGGACUGCCUCCACACUUUGUAAUUCACAGCUUCUGAUGCCCAAGCUUUGCUGGAUGUAUCUGCUGGACUCGGCUGACCCUAGUGGUUCUGGGGACGAGCAGACUUUAGGCGUAUUCAGGUUUAAUAAAUGAGAUAUUAGAGCUGUUCAAUGUUCCAUCUUGUGUUCCACCAGAGCU